GAUAAUUUUGCUGUAUAGGCGUAUAGGGUUUCCAAUUGAUUUCACCCCAUCCUGCCGUCUUUAUUUACUCAAUCGAACAGGUACAUAUUAUUUCUGAUAGUACACUCAUUUUAUUAUUGUUCAAUUCAAGCGUUUAUAUAGUUUGCUCCACGGUUUUGACAAGAAAAGGGUUUUUUGAAAUGUGAGAAGAAGAAUAAUUUGAUACAAUUAAAAUUCACGCCUUGGGUUUCACCUCUAUGAAUAUUUUUAUUUAUGUAUGGCUUGAAUUCGUCUAAUUCAAUGUUUUGCAGUGUUAUCAGUUGCGUGGGUUUGGGUGUGGGCAGUAUAUUCCUAACUAUAUUGUUUUCUUUUAGCAUUUUUUUUUUCAGUUUCUAAAAAUUCUGUAAUUUUUUUCUCGCAUCUGAAUUCCCAAAGGUAAAAAAAAAAAAUUGCCUUUUUGGUAUCUCUGUGAUAACCCGAUUCAUUUUUGUAGUCAUAAUGUUUUAAUUACAUUAAAUACAGAUGAGCCAGCCAGAGCAUCAUUCAACAGAUGCAAGUAAGUUCUUUUACCUAAAAUUUUAUAAAAUUGUUAGAUUCAGGUCUUCAAGAUUGCCAAAGUAGCUGAUGAACAUGUUUUUGUUUAGAGUAACUUAGAACUGAUUAUUUUUCUUCAGUAAUCAGUCAGGUUCAGUUUAAUAUCUCCCAGAAGAGCUUGCUAUAUGAAUAUUAAUUUAGUAACUUAAUUGCUGUUUUUAUUGUGUGAGAAGAGCAUGCCAAAGGAACCGAAGUUUUUGUUGGGGGAUUGCCCUCUACAGUAUCUGAAGACAAAAUCAGCAAGGUCUAAUUUCUCUCUCUUCCUUCAUCUUGUAUUGGCAGCUAUAUAUUGUAGAGUGUUACAGGUAAACAAUCCUUUUAUGUAGUGUGAAGGAAGCAUAAGCAAAUUGAUUAAGUAAAGAAGAUCAGAAAAGGAAAGAACUAGGUCUUCUUAGGCGAACG
RNAcentral lists this long non-coding RNA (975 nucleotides) under Olea europaea subsp. europaea. The record is from RNAcentral. Lineage: Eukaryota; Viridiplantae; Streptophyta; Magnoliopsida; Lamiales; Oleaceae.